RNAcentral lists this ribosomal RNA (1054 nucleotides) under uncultured Campylobacterota bacterium. Its description in RNAcentral is "bacterial SSU rRNA". It matches the Rfam family "Bacterial small subunit ribosomal RNA", at positions 74 to 1147 of the family's 1533-position model. Lineage: Bacteria; Pseudomonadati; Campylobacterota. The record is from RNAcentral.
UCUAGCUUGCUAGAGUGGAUUAGUGGCGCACGGGUGAGGAAUAUAUAGCUAAUGUGCCCCAUAGAGGGGGAUAACAGUUGGAAACGACUGCUAAUACCCCAUACUCCUUCUUCUCAUAAGGGAAGUCGGGAAAGUUUUUUCGCUAUGGGAUCGGGCUAUACGGUAUCAGCUUGUUGGUGAGGUAACGGCUCACCAAGGCUAUGACGCCUAUCUGGUCUGAGAGGAUGAUCAGACACACUGGAACUGAGACACGGUCCAGACUCCUACGGGAGGCAGCAGUGGGGAAUAUUACACAAUGGAGGCAACUCUGAUGUAGCAACGCCGCGUGGAGGAUGACACAUUUCGGUGCGUAAACUCCUUUUAUAUAGGAAGAUAAUGACGGUACUAUAUGAAUAAGCACCGGCUAACUCCGUGCCAGCAGCCGCGAUAAUACGGAGGGUGCAAGCGUUACUCGGAAUCACUGGGCGUAAAGCGCGCGCAGGCGGCCCCUUAAGUUGGAUGUGAAAUCCUAUGGCUCAACCAUAGAACUGCAUCCAAAACUGAGGGGCUAGAGUCUGGGAGGGGAAGAUGGAAUUAGUGGUGUAGGGGUAAAAUCCGUAGAGAUCACUAGGAAUACCAAAAGCGAAGGCGAUCUUCUGGAACAGUACUGACGCUGAGGCGCGAAAGCGUGGGGAGCAAACAGGAUUAGAUACCCUGGUAGUCCACGCCCUAAACUAUGAAUGUUAGUCGUCGGGAGGCUCGUCCUCUCGGCGAUGCAGCUAACGCAUUAAACAUUCCGCCUGGGGAGUACGGUCGCAAGAUUAAAACUCAAAGGAAUAGACGGGGACCCGCACAAGUGGUGGAGCAUGUGGUUUAAUCCGAAGAUACGCGAAGAACCUUACCUGGCCUUGACAUUGAUAGAAUCUGCUAGAGAUAGCGGAGUGCCCUUCGGGGAGCUUGAAAACAGGUGCUGCACGGCUGUCGUCAGCUCGUGUCGUGAGAUGUUGGGUUAAGUCCGCAACGAGCGCAACCCUCGUCACUAGUUACUAACGGUUCGGCCGAGGACUCUAGUGAG